Molecule: ribosomal RNA, 572 nt
Filed under: fungal sp. ARIZ B454
Lineage: Eukaryota; Fungi
Description: eukaryotic LSU rRNA
Rfam family: 5.8S ribosomal RNA (bases 248-401)
Source: RNAcentral
UGGAAGUAAAAGUCGUAACAAGGUCUCCGUUGGUGAACCAGCGGAGGGAUCAUUAGAGAGUUCUCAUAAAACUCCCAAACCCCAUGUGAACCUACCUUCUGUUGCCUCGGCAGGUCGCGCCGGCGCUCAACCGCGUAGCACCCUACCCUGUAGGGCCUACCCGGGACGCGCCGGCGGCUCCCCUGCCGGCGGCCCACGAAACUCUGUUUAGCAUAUUAAAUUCUGAACGUAUAACUAAAUCAGUUAAAACUUUCAACAACGGAUCUCUUGGUUCUGGCAUCGAUGAAGAACGCAGCGAAAUGCGAUAAGUAAUGUGAAUUGCAGAAUUCAGUGAAUCAUCGAAUCUUUGAACGCACAUUGCGCCCAUUAGUAUUCUAGUGGGCAUGCCUGUUCGAGCGUCAUUUCAACCCUCAAGCCCCCGUUGCUUGGUGUUGGGAGCCUACGGGGUCACCCGUAGCUCCUUAAASWUAGUGGCGGAGUCGGUUCACACUCUAGACGUAGUAGAUUUUCACCUCGCCUGUAGUGCUGGACCGGUCCCCUGCCGUAAAACGCCCCUAUUUCUAAAAGGUGAC